RNAcentral lists this ribosomal RNA (211 nucleotides) under uncultured bacterium. Its description in RNAcentral is "partial 16S ribosomal RNA". It matches the Rfam family "Bacterial small subunit ribosomal RNA", at positions 124 to 334 of the family's 1533-position model. The record is from RNAcentral.
CCUAACCUUCUACUGGGGGAUAGCCUUCCGAAAGGAAGAUUAAUACCGCAUAACAUCACAUGAGGGCAUCUGAGUGUGAUCAAAGAUUUAUUGGUAGAAGAUGGGCAUGCGUGACAUUAGCUAGUUGGUGCAGGUAACGGCUCACCAAGGCUACGAUGUCUAGGGGUUCUGAGAGGAUGAUCCCCCACACUGGUACUGAGAUACGGACCAG